AAGAGUUUGAUCAUGGCUCACAGUGAACUGCUGGCGGUAGGCCUAACACAUGCAAGUCGAACGGCAGCACAGGAGAGCUUGCUCUCUGGGUGGCGAGUGGCGGACGGGUGAGGAAUACAUCGGAAUCUACUCUGUCGUGGGGGAUAACGUAGGGAAACUUACGCUAAUACCGCAUACGACCUACGGGUGAAAGCAGGGGACCUUCGGGCCUUGCGCGAUUGAAUGAGCCGAUGUCGGAUUAGCUAGUUGGCGGGGUAAAGGCCCACCAAGGCGACGAUCCGUAGCUGGUCUGAGAGGAUGAUCAGCCACACUGGAACUGAGACACGGUCCAGACUCCUACGGGAGGCAGCAGUGGGGAAUAUUGGACAAUGGGCGCAAGCCUGAUCCAGCCAUACCGCGUGGGUGAAGAAGGCCUUCGGGUCGUAAAGCCCUUUUGUUGGGAAAGAAAUCCAGCUGGCUAAUACCCGGUUGGGAUGACGGUACCCAAAGAAUAAGCACCGGCUAACUUCGUGCCAGCAGCCGCGGUAAUACGAAGGGUGCAAGCGUUACUCGGAAUUACUGGGCGUAAAGCGUGCGUAGGUGGUCGUUUAAGUCCGUUGUGAAAGCCCU
This 609-nucleotide ribosomal RNA is filed under the name uncultured bacterium. RNAcentral's name for it is "bacterial SSU rRNA". It matches the Rfam family "Bacterial small subunit ribosomal RNA", at positions 1 to 604 of the family's 1533-position model. The record is from RNAcentral.